AAUGGCCGCAGUAAUUUGACUGUGCAAAGGUAGCAUAAUCAAUAGUUUUUUAAUUGAAAGCUUGUAUGAAAGGUUGGACGAAAUAAUAUCUGUCUUUAUUUAAUAAUUAUUAAAAUUUAAUUUUUAAGUCAAAAAGCUUAAAUAAUUAUAAAAGACGAGAAGACCCUAUAGAGCUUUAUAAAUUUUAUUUUAUAAAUAUUUUAGAUUUUUUAUUUUUAUAGUUUUUAAUUUAUUAUAUUGGGGUAAUAGAAAGAUUUAAUUAAUUCUUUUUUAUGUUUUUAUUUAUUUAUAUUUUAAAUGAUCCAUUAUUAAUGAUUAUAAGAUUAAGUUACCUUAGGGAUAACAGCGUAAUUUUUUUAGAGAGUUCAUAUUGAUAAAAAAGUUUGCGACCUCGAUGUUGGAUUAAAGAUUAGUUUAGGUGCAAAAGUUUAAAUUUUUGGUCUGUUCGACCAUUAAAUCUUUACAUGAUCUGAGUUCAGACCGGUUUAAGCCAGGUCGGUUUCUAUCUUUAUUAAGUUAAAAUAUUUUAGUACGAAAGGACCAAAUAUUAAUUAUAUUAAUUUUAUUUUUGAAUAAUAUU
RNAcentral lists this ribosomal RNA (580 nucleotides) under Microcharidius sp. 34 aff. elenae CA-2017. Its description in RNAcentral is "partial large subunit ribosomal RNA". The stretch from base 339 to 497 matches the Rfam family "Bacterial large subunit ribosomal RNA", at positions 2473 to 2632 of the family's 2925-position model. The record is from RNAcentral. Lineage: Eukaryota; Metazoa; Arthropoda; Insecta; Coleoptera; Carabidae.